This 301-nucleotide ribosomal RNA is filed under the name uncultured bacterium. RNAcentral describes it as "partial 16S ribosomal RNA". It matches the Rfam family "Bacterial small subunit ribosomal RNA", at positions 509 to 807 of the family's 1533-position model. The record is from RNAcentral.
CAGCAGCCACGGGAAUACAGAGGGUGCGAGCGUUAAUCGGAUUUACUGGGCGUAAAGCGUGCGUAGGCGGCUUUUUAAGUCGGAUGUGAAAUCCCUGAGCUUAACUUAGGAAUUGCAUUCGAUACUGGGAAGCUAGAGUAUGGGAGAGGAUGGUAGAAUUCCAGGUGUAGCGGUGAAAUGCGUAAAGAUCUGGAGGAAUACCGAUGGCGAAGGCAGCCAUCUGGCCUAAUACUGACGCUGAGGUACGAAAGCAUGGGGAGCAAACAGGAUUAGAUACCCCUGUAGUCCCUGUCUCUUAUAC